RNAcentral lists this ribosomal RNA (492 nucleotides) under Buergeres choprai. RNAcentral's name for it is "partial large subunit ribosomal RNA". The stretch from base 367 to 492 matches the Rfam family "Bacterial large subunit ribosomal RNA", at positions 2473 to 2598 of the family's 2925-position model. Lineage: Eukaryota; Metazoa; Arthropoda; Malacostraca; Decapoda; Pinnotheridae. The record is from RNAcentral.
UGCUCUCUGAUUGUUAUUUUAAGGGCCGCGGUAAUUUGACCGUGCAAAGGUAGCGUAAUAGUUAGUUUUUUAAUUGGAAUCUUGUAUGAAUGGUUGGACAAGAGAAAUACUGUCUCUAUAAUUUUUAUUGAAUUUAACUUUUAAGUGAAAAGGCUUAAAUUAUUUAAAAAGACGAUAAGACCCUAUAAAGCUUUAUAAAUAAAAUUUAUCAAAUUGAAUUAUUAAUAAUAUUUUAAUAAAUUAUAUUAUUUUGUUGGGGAGAUAAUAUUAUAAUUUUGAGUAACUGUAAAUAAUUAAUACAAUCAUAUAUGUGUAUAAAAGGUAAAAGAUCCUAUUAUAUAGAUUAAAAGUUUAAGUUACUUUAGGGAUAACAGCGUUAUUUUUUUUGAGAGUUCAUAUCGAAAAAAAAGAUUGCGACCUCGAUGUUGAAUUAAAAUUUCUAUAUAAUUGCAGAAGUUAUUUUAGAAGGUCUGUUCGACCUUUAAAUUUUUA